RNAcentral lists this ribosomal RNA (768 nucleotides) under unidentified microorganism. Its description in RNAcentral is "bacterial SSU rRNA". It matches the Rfam family "Bacterial small subunit ribosomal RNA", at positions 51 to 803 of the family's 1533-position model. The record is from RNAcentral.
AUACAUGCAGUCGAGCGGACAGAAGGGAGCUUGCUCCCGGAUGUUAGCGGCGGACGGGUGAGUAACACGUGGGUAACCUGCCUGUAAGACUGGGAUAACUCCGGGAAACCGGAGCUAAUACCGGAUAGUUCCUUGAACCGCANGGUUCAAGGAUGAAAGACGGUUUCGGCUGUCACUUACAGAUGGACCCGCGGCGCAUUAGCUAGUUGGUGGGGUAAUGGCUCACCAAGGCGACGAUGCGUAGCCGACCUGAGAGGGUGAUCGGCCACACUGGGACUGAGACACGGCCCAGACUCCUACGGGAGGCAGCAGUAGGGAAUCUUCCGCAAUGGACGAAAGUCUGACGGAGCAACGCCGCGUGAGUGAUGAAGGUUUUCGGAUCGUAAAGCUCUGUUGUUAGGGAAGAACAAGUGCGAGAGUAACUGCUCGCACCUUGACGGUACCUAACCAGAAAGCCACGGCUAACUACGUGCCAGCAGCCGCGGUAAUACGUAGGUGGCAAGCGUUGUCCGGAAUUAUUGGGCGUAAAGGGCUCGCAGGCGGUUUCUUAAGUCUGAUGUGAAAGCCCCCGGCUCAACCGGGGAGGGUCAUUGGAAACUGGGAAACUUGAGUGCAGAAGAGGAGAGUGGAAUUCCACGUGUAGCGGUGAAAUGCGUAGAGAUGUGGAGGAACACCAGUGGCGAAGGCGACUCUCUGGUCUGUAACUGACGCUGAGGAGCGAAAGCGUGGGGAGCGAACAGGAUUAGAUACCCUGGUAGUCCACGCCGU